Molecule: long non-coding RNA, 455 nt
Filed under: Pongo abelii (Sumatran orangutan)
Lineage: Eukaryota; Metazoa; Chordata; Mammalia; Primates; Hominidae
Description: lncRNA (ENSPPYG00000039789.1)
Source: RNAcentral
CUUUUGGCCCCACCCUUUUAAAGCACCUUCAGAGGUUCCCAUGGUGACAGUAAACAAGUCUCCACUGUCCUGGCCAUCUCUGCUGUGUUCACCCUGCUCCUGAUCUUUCUGGCUGCUCAGGGACUGACCGCCAAGAUGUGAGGCUGUGAAGAGCAGGAACAGGGAGGCCUGGAGCCCCCAGCCAUUGUCAUCACUUCCCUGAUCUGCCUAAAUUCUGCCCAGCAGUCCGUGAAAAUGAUUUACUGAUGACAUAUGUAAGGACUCUAACUCCCCUCAAGCAAUCUGCUCAUCUCAAAGGUAGAGAAGGAUCCUUUCUUAAAGGAGGAUCUUAUGGCCCAUAAUCAGAGAGGUGGGGGAAGAUUGGAGAGGACAGGGAAGGUCAGAAAGAAAGACUAUGUUUUCUGAGGCCUGCUCCUGAAACUUAAAACACUCCAACAUUACAACAGAAGACUAUG